This 405-nucleotide long non-coding RNA is filed under the name Medicago truncatula (barrel medic). Its description in RNAcentral is "long non-coding RNA (MTRU_LNC000146)". Lineage: Eukaryota; Viridiplantae; Streptophyta; Magnoliopsida; Fabales; Fabaceae. The record is from RNAcentral.
GCAAAAGUAACCCCCAUGUUUAAGGAAAUAUGCUCUUUUGACCCCCCUAACAUAAGGGAAAUAUAAUCUUUUGACCCUUUAUCUUCUCAAAAAUUUGCGAUUAUGACACCUGUUUUGGGACAUGUGGCGUCUCUUCUCAUCAAUUUUGGGACGAAAGGAACCAAAAUUGUCAUCUUUUUUAAUAGGGGCCAAAAUUGCAACAUUUUGAAACUUAGUGGAUGAAAGGUGCAGUUUAGCCUUUUUAAUAACAAAUGUUGUCAUGUUAAUUGUCAUUGUGGAGUAAAAAGCUUGGGUGUUCAUAACGAAUGAUGGCUAUGAAAGCAUCUUCUCUCUACUUUUUGCGGCCCUAUUUAAUAAAUGGUACACAUAUCCACAAUGGAGCUCUCCACUUAGGUGUUUAAAUAG